CCCAACACCAUUUUGCUUCCGACCGUUCCACUGCACUCGCUCUCAUCGCCGUCGAUGACUCGCAUCACCGCGCCGCCGCCGCCGUCCUCGCCCCCGGGGUCCCCGCCGCCCAUCCGCCACUCGCCGGCACCGGCGAUCCCGCUCUCCCGCCGCCGCGGCCGCCACUCGCCGUCCCCGUCCCUCGCGCUCACCCCCUCCUCAUCCGCCUCGACCUCCGCCGCCACCUCCUCGAGGCCGAAGCUGCGCCCCACGCCGAAGCGAGCCUACACGCCGGCGCAGUGGGUGCUGCUGUCCUCCCACCCCGACUUCUCCAGACGCGACGGCGAGGGCGGCGGUGGCGCCGCCGCGUGGGACCCCACAGCGUCGCGGCUGUACGCGUGGGACCCUUCGGCGUGCGGCGCCCACCGGAUAGGCGUGCGGAUUAGGGACCCGGAGGCGGAGAAUGACGGGGAGGAGGUCGCCGUCGAAGCCGCCGUGCCUUCCGAGAUGUUGAUGCCAGAGACUGAUCUUGGUUAUGUGGUCACUCAUGUAUCACUCAACACGGAUGGUUCAUCACUGCUACUUGUUGGAUCACAUAAUCUCAGUGUCCUGUAUGUACAUGAGAGGGUGUCUGAAGACGGUGAUACAAUCAUAUGCAGAUAUGAAAUUCACAACAGGACUGCACCAAUUGCUUCCCAGAUCCUACCUAGUAACAAUGAUGGCAUAAAAGUUCUGCAGGCAUCUUGGCAUCCUUUUAGCAACAACCAUUUUGCAGUUUUGAGUUUUGACAUCAGAUGCUGUUUUCAGAUUAUUUGAUCUAUCAUCUGAUUUAGAGCAGCCAGAGCAGGAAUUUUAUUUGCAGCCAAUACUACCUGGAAAAUGUCAGAAUGCUUCGGCAAUUUGUCCAGUAGCAUUCUCUUUUGGGAGUGAACAUCUAUGGGAUAGAUUUUCGGUUUUCAUCUUAUUCAGUGAUGGUUCAAUUUUUGUGCUAUGUCCUGUUGUUCCAUUUGGAAGUGACUAUAGCAAGAAACAUAUUCAAGAAAUAUAUGAAGAUGUUAAUGCAUUUGGAUUGAAAUCUUCAAAUCCAAAUGUUGUUACUAACUCACAUUUGGCCAUAGCUUGGUUGGAGGCAACAUUUCCUGACUUGUUACAUCAAUCAACAGAUACCAGCUUGUUGAUGUCAAAAGCUCAUCCAUAUGCGCCUGUAGAUGAUUCUCUAACUUUACAGGGGCCUCUUUGUAGAGUUUGUGAGGAAAAUAACGAAUCUGAAGGUAAGAGUAGCAAUUGUGAAGGCAAAGCUGUAGGUUUUAUGUACAGUUCUGCCGGCAAAGAUUCAAUUCUUGUGACGGCAUGGGGUAGUGGACAGCUCCAGGUUGAUGCUCUCGCUGAUGAAAUUCAACCGCAGUGGAACAUUGGGAUUCCUACUCGCCUUAAUGUCGAUUCACAUGGACAAAUAAAGAGUGUUGCCAUGAUAUGUGAUUCCAAUUCACAAGAUCCAUUGGCCUUGAGAUCGCAUCGACCAUCCAGUACGGGAUCCAAUGUGAAGAGCAACAUAGAAGCCAUUUGGAUGGGGCACUCUCCUCCUUUGCUAAGGCUUGCAAUUGUGGAUUUGGCGCUACCAAAAGCUCCCAGUGAUAGCUCUUUGUCCUUGUUUCCGGAUCCCCUUGUUCCAGAGAGAUUGUAUUGUGCUCAUGGUGGGGGGCUUGACAUGGUCACACUACACUUCCUACCAUUUUCAUACCCUGAAAUGGCUUCAACACCACCCUCCGUGCAUCCUAUCCUCACGACAGGCAAUAGUGACACAAGUUCUCCUUUCCUUUCUGGAUUUGUUGCAAUAGCUGAUGCAUAUGGUCAUGUACAAUUAGUUGGUAUCACAUGCCUGGGUGAGUGCUUUGUGGUGGAGAUGAAGGGUUGGAAGGAACCAACACCUCUUCAACUUGACAUAGAUAGCAAGAGUAUUAAGGAUGUGGAGCCUCCUGCAACUGGAAUGAUCAGCAAAGAGCUUAUUGCUGGUCCAGACCCACCCAUACUUCCAUCUUCAUCAAGCCUGAAGUCAUUGACCCCUGACUCUAUUGAAGGAAAAUCCACGCUUCAUCACUAUAUUAAGGUCUUCCAUGAGUACUAUGUGGAGUACGGACACAAGGUUUUCAUUGAGCUCAAGGAGCAUGCAGACUAUGUGAAGACAGAACUUGAAGACAAACAGAAACGCUUAGAAGCAGUGAAGAAAUCACUUCUAUCCAUAGAAACCAAAGACCAAGAAAUUAACAAGAGGAUAGACAGGGCCUUCAAGGUGUAUGAAUUGUUGGAGAAGCGGAUAGAUAGCUUCAAGAUGCUUCCUGCUGCAAAUAAGAAACCGUUAUCUCAGGCAGAGCAGGAGUUUAAGGCACAGCUUGAUAGGUUUGCAGAUGUGGAGCUGGAUGCUUUACGUUCUUCUAUUGCUGCCCUUAGCGUGAGGAUGAAGCGGUUUGCUCAGCAAUCCGUGGGAGGUGUAGCUGGCACAGGAGUGGUACCGUGGCAGGCACCAAAGACGGGAGGAAGCCAUAUUUCAGAAUCCCAGAUGUCACUGCUAAAAUCUUCACUUGAGAAGCUCUCGCUCCUUAACGAAGAGAACAAUCUGAAGCUUCGGCUAAUCGAUAAUGAACUCAAGAACAAGGAGAAAUAGGUGAUAUGUUGACUGUUGUUGUCCGAAGGCAAAAGUGCAGUUGUGUGCACAAAACUAACGAUCUUUUGGUUGGCAGGUCUUAGCAGUACUUGAAUUUCAGAGACAGCUUUCUAUCACACUUCUAUGUGUUUAAGGUCUGGUGGACCUGUGAACUCUCCUGAAUGCUGCAUCAACUGUUGGUUAAACUUUUCAAGGGAAGGCUGCACACGACAUGAUGCGAAGUGUUAAGCAGCUAGCACUGCAAGUGGGGUAUCAGGGUGAUGUAACUACCAGAAACUUGUGUUGAUAGCUCAAUUUAACCAGUCACCUGUAGUUCUACACCUUGCAUCCGCGAAUUAUGAUCACAGUGUAUUUCUCGUAAAACAUUAUGAUCCGCGAAUUACAAACUGCUAA
Molecule: RNA transcript, 3034 nt
Organism: Panicum virgatum (switchgrass)
Lineage: Eukaryota; Viridiplantae; Streptophyta; Magnoliopsida; Poales; Poaceae
Gene name: nuclear pore complex protein NUP88-like
Exons: 9
Source: RefSeq, a predicted model, not a curated record